RNAcentral lists this ribosomal RNA (484 nucleotides) under uncultured bacterium. RNAcentral's name for it is "partial 16S ribosomal RNA". It matches the Rfam family "Bacterial small subunit ribosomal RNA", at positions 28 to 507 of the family's 1533-position model. The record is from RNAcentral.
GUUGAACGCUGGCGGCAUGCUUUACACAUGCAAGUCGAACGGCAGCGCGGGCUUCGGCCUGGCGGCGAGUGGCGAACGGGUGAGUAAUGCAUCGGAACGUGCCCAGUAGUGGGGGAUAGCCCGGCGAAAGCCGGAUUAAUACCGCAUACGACCUGAGGGUGAAAGCGGGGGACCGAAAGGCCUCGCGCUAUUGGAGCGGCCGAUGUCGGAUUAGCUAGUUGGUGGGGUAAAGGCUUACCAAGGCGACGAUCCGUAGCUGGUCUGAGAGGACGACCAGCCACACUGGGACUGAGACACGGCCCAGACUCCUACGGGAGGCAGCAGUGGGGAAUUUUGGACAAUGGGGGCAACCCUGAUCCAGCCAUGCCGCGUGCGGGAAGAAGGCCUUCGGGUUGUAAACCGCUUUUGUUCGGGAAGAAAUCCUAUGGGCUAAUACCCCGGGGGGAUGACGGUACCGGAAGAAUAAGCACCGGCUAACUACGUG